Molecule: ribosomal RNA, 669 nt
Filed under: Bordetella bronchiseptica
Lineage: Bacteria; Pseudomonadati; Pseudomonadota; Betaproteobacteria; Burkholderiales; Alcaligenaceae
Description: bacterial SSU rRNA
Rfam family: Bacterial small subunit ribosomal RNA
Source: RNAcentral
AGUAUCUUUCUCAUGCAGUCGGACGGCAGCACGGGCUUCGGCCUGGUGGCGAGUGGCGAACGGGUGAGUAAUGUAUCGGAACGUGCCCAGUAGCGGGGGAUAACUACRCGAAAGCGUGGCUAAUACCGCAUACGCCCUACGGGGGAAAGCGGGGGACCUUCGGGCCUCGCACUAUUGGAGCGGCCGAUAUCGGAUUAGCUAGUUGGUGGGGUAACGGCCUACCAAGGCGACGAUCCGUAGCUGGUUUGAGAGGACGACCAGCCACACUGGGACUGAGACACGGCCCAGACUCCUACGGGAGGCAGCAGUGGGGAAUUUUGGACAAUGGGGGCAACCCUGAUCCAGCCAUCCCGCGUGUGCGAUGAAGGCCUUCGGGUUGUAAAGCACUUUUGGCAGGAAAGAAACGGCACGGGCUAAUAUCCUGUGCAACUGACGGUACCUGCAGAAUAAGCACCGGCUAACUACGUGCCAGCAGCCGCGGUAAUACGUAGGGUGCAAGCGUUAAUCGGAAUUACUGGGCGUAAAGCGUGCGCAGGCGGUUCGGAAAGAAAGAUGUGAAAUCCCAGGGCUUAACCUUGGAACUGCAUUUUUAACUACCGGGCUAGAGUGUGUCAGAGGGAGGUGGAAUUCCGCGUGUAGCAGUGAAAUGCGUAGAUAUGCGGAGGAACA